RNAcentral lists this unclassified non-coding RNA (676 nucleotides) under Hevea brasiliensis (rubber tree). The record is from RNAcentral. Lineage: Eukaryota; Viridiplantae; Streptophyta; Magnoliopsida; Malpighiales; Euphorbiaceae.
UAUGGGCGGCAUAGGUAAAACAACUAUUGCUGGAGCUAUCUUCAAUACUCUCUCAAGUCAAUUUGAAGGUUGUUGCUUUCUUGGAAAUGUUAAGGAAGAAUUAAAGCAAUUUGGUGGGCUUAUUCGUUUAAGAGAAAUGCUCAUUUCUGAAAUACUAGAAGAAGAAAACCUACAUAUUGUUACUCCCAAAAUAGGAUCCAUUUCCAUUAAGAAUAGGCUCCGGCGCAAAAAGGUUCUGAUUGUUCUUGAUGAUGUGAAUGAUAUAGAUCAAUUAGAAGUUCUAAUUGGAAGUUGUGACUUUGGUUUGGGAAGUAGAAUUAUUGUGACAUCUAGAGAUAGGCAUGUUCUUAAGAAUGGAGUUGAUGAAAUAUAUGAAGUUGAGGGAUUAAAUUAUGAUGAAGCUCUGCAUUUGUUCAGCUUGAAUGCUUUUAAGGAAAAGUAUCCGGGGAAAGAUAAAAUGGAGCUAUCAAAUAAAGCAGUCAAAUAUGCUCAAGGCAACCCUUAGCACUUAAAGUCAUGGGUUCUUUUCUGUUUGACCGAACAGAGCAAGAUUGGGAGAGUGCACUAGAUAAACUUGGAAAAAUUCCUCAUCCUAAAAUUUUUCACGUGUUGAGAAUAAGUUUUGAUAUGCUAGAUGAUGAAGAGAGAAGUAUAUUUCUUGAUAUUGCAUGCUUUU